UACGAAGGGGGCUAGCGUUGCUCGGAAUGACUGGGCGUAAAGGGCGCGUAGGCGGCUUGCGCCGUCAGAUGUGAAAUUCCUGGGCUUAACCUGGGGGCUGCAUUUGAUACGUGUGGGCUUGAGUGCGGAAGAGGGUCGUGGAAUUCCCAGUGUAGAGGUGAAAUUCGUAGAUAUUGGGAAGAACACCGGUGGCGAAGGCGGCGACCUGGUCCGUGACUGACGCUGAGGCGCGAAAGCGUGGGGAGCAAACAGG
Molecule: ribosomal RNA, 253 nt
Filed under: uncultured bacterium
Lineage: Bacteria
Description: partial 16S ribosomal RNA
Rfam family: Bacterial small subunit ribosomal RNA
Source: RNAcentral